UCAGCUUGCUGAAGUCAGUAAAGUGGCGCACGGGUGAGUAACGCGUGGGUAAUCUGCCUCCGAAUUGGGGAUAACAUUGCGAAAGCGAUGCUAAUACCGAAUAACAUCCUUAAAACUUCGGUUUUUUGGAUCAAAGGUGGUCUCUACAUGUAAGCUACUGUUUGGAGAUGAGCCCGCGUACCAUUAGCUUGUUGGUAGGGUAAAAGCCUACCAAGGCGACGAUGGUUAGCUGGUCUGAGAGGAUGAUCAGCCACACUGGAACUGACACACGGUCCAGACUCCUACGGGAGGCAGCAGUGAGGAAUUUUGCGCAAUGGGGGAAACCCUGACGCAGCAACGCCGCGUGAGUGAUGAAGGCUUUCGGGUCGUAAAGCUCUGUCAAGUGGGAAGAACCUACGAAGUGCCAAUACCACUUUGUACUGACGGUACCACUGAAGGAAGCACCGGCUAACUCCGUGCCAGCAGCCGCGGUAAUACGGGGGGUGCAAGCGUUAUUCGGAAUCAUUGGGCGUAAAGAGCGCGUAGGCGGUCUCUUAAGUCAGGUGUGAAAGCCCGAGGCUUAACCUCGGAAGUGCAUUUGAAACUAAGGGACUUGAGUAUGGGAGAGGGAAGUGGAAUUCCUGGUGUAGCGGUGAAAUGCGUAGAUAUCA
This 650-nucleotide ribosomal RNA is filed under the name uncultured bacterium. Its description in RNAcentral is "bacterial SSU rRNA". It matches the Rfam family "Bacterial small subunit ribosomal RNA", at positions 75 to 699 of the family's 1533-position model. The record is from RNAcentral.